GUUUUAAGGUUAAGGAUAUUUAAAUAAUUUUCAUUCUCAAAACUAAAAAAAAAAAAAGAAACCCCCAAACCCUUACUCACCUCCCUCAUUCCUCUCAACCCUUUCUCUUUCAUCUCUCUCACUCCAACAUUUUUGUCAUCCUUAUUACCCCAAUUGAAAAAAAAAAAAAAAACCAGAAACUCGUGCCUAACCCUAAUCCACCUUUCUCACUUAUCCAAUUUGUUUCUC
RNAcentral lists this long non-coding RNA (228 nucleotides) under Vigna radiata. RNAcentral describes it as "long non-coding RNA (VRAD_LNC007343)". The record is from RNAcentral. Lineage: Eukaryota; Viridiplantae; Streptophyta; Magnoliopsida; Fabales; Fabaceae.